This 308-nucleotide long non-coding RNA is filed under the name Rattus norvegicus (Norway rat). RNAcentral describes it as "long non-coding RNA NONRATT031620". The record is from RNAcentral. Lineage: Eukaryota; Metazoa; Chordata; Mammalia; Rodentia; Muridae.
CAACCUGUGACACUAGCCUAGGCUUUUUUUUUUUCUCUCUCUCUCUGUGAUGAAGAUUUUUAUUGUUUCUGUCAAGGCUUCCUUCCCUUAGGCCUCUCCCUAUCUGUGGUGAGCCUUCCUGCAGCGGCUGGGAGGAACUGAAAAGCGGCCUAGAGAGCAGCCAUGAAACAGCGGUCGCUCCUCCUGCUAUGGAAGACCUGUUCUGCCUCCUUCCUGAAAUCUUCGGAGCACGGCCCCCAGCUGGAUACUCCCCUUACCUCAGCUGGAUGCUUCUUCCCCCUCAGCUGGAUGCUCCCCCCCACCACAGC